GACGAACGCUGGCGGCGUGCUUAACACAUGCAAGUCGAGCGGUAAGGCCCUUUCGGGGGUACACGAGCGGCGAACGGGUGAGUAACACGUGGGUGACCUGCCCUCAGCUCUGGGAUAAGCCUGGGAAACUGGGUCUAAUACUGGAUAUGACUCCACGGUGCAUGUCGUGGGGUGGAGAGCCUUGUGCGGCUGAGGAUGGGCCCGCGGCCUAUCAGCUUGUUGGGGGGUG
This 229-nucleotide ribosomal RNA is filed under the name uncultured bacterium. Its description in RNAcentral is "partial 16S ribosomal RNA". It matches the Rfam family "Bacterial small subunit ribosomal RNA", at positions 28 to 258 of the family's 1533-position model. The record is from RNAcentral.